GACGAACGCUGGCGGCGUGCUUAACACAUGCAAGUCGAACGGAAAGGCCCUGCUUUUGUGGGGUGCUCGAGUGGCGAACGGGUGAGUAACACGUGAGUAACCUGCCCUUGACUUUGGGAUAACUUCAGGAAACUGGGGCUAAUACCGGAUAGGAGCUCCUGCUGCAUGGUGGGGGUUGGAAAGUUUCGGCGGUUGGGGCUGGACUCGCGGCUUAUCAGCUUGUUGGUGGGGUAGUGGCUUACCAAGGCUUUGACGGGUAGCCGGCCUGAGCGGGUGACCGGCCACAUGGGGACUGAGAUAGGGCCCAGACUCCUACGGGAGGCAGCAGUGGGGAAUAUUGCACAAUGGGCGGAAGCCUGAUGCAGCAACGCCGCGUGCGGGAUGACGGCCUUCGGGUUGUAAACCGCUUUCGCCUGUGACGAAGCGUGAGUGACGGUAAUGGGUAAAGAAGCACCGGCUAACUACGUG
This 468-nucleotide ribosomal RNA is filed under the name uncultured bacterium. Its description in RNAcentral is "partial 16S ribosomal RNA". It matches the Rfam family "Bacterial small subunit ribosomal RNA", at positions 28 to 507 of the family's 1533-position model. The record is from RNAcentral.